RNAcentral lists this ribosomal RNA (196 nucleotides) under uncultured bacterium. RNAcentral's name for it is "partial 16S ribosomal RNA". It matches the Rfam family "Bacterial small subunit ribosomal RNA", at positions 338 to 525 of the family's 1533-position model. The record is from RNAcentral.
CCUACGGGAGGCAGCAGUGGGGAAUAUUGGACAAUGGGCGCAAGCCUGAUCCAGCCAUGCCGCGUGUGUGAAGAAGGCCUUAUGGUUGUAAAGCACCUUAAGCGAGGAGGAGGCUACUUUAGUUAAUACCUAGAGAUAGUGGACGUUACUCGCAGAAUAAGCACCGGCUAACUCUGUGCCAGCAGCCGCGGUAAUA